GGUUGAUCCUGCCAGUAAUAUAUGCUUGUCCCAAAGAUUAAGCCAUGCAUGUGUAAGUUUAAACUGAUUUUUACAGUGAGACGGCGGACGGCUCCGCAACUCAGUUAUAAUUAACUUGACAAUCUCUGCUACACGGAUAACUGUCGCAAAUCGAGAGCUAAUACGCGCAUGAAGGCCUGACGCAAGGAGGGCUGUGCUUAUUGGAUACAAAACUGACGGCAGCAAUGCCAUUGGUGAUUCACAAUAAUCUAACGGAUCGCAGGACCAUGAGUCGGCGACGAGUCAAUCAAAUU
Molecule: ribosomal RNA, 293 nt
Filed under: uncultured eukaryote
Lineage: Eukaryota
Description: partial 18S ribosomal RNA
Rfam family: Eukaryotic small subunit ribosomal RNA
Source: RNAcentral